Molecule: RNA transcript, 1984 nt
Organism: Manis pentadactyla (Chinese pangolin)
Lineage: Eukaryota; Metazoa; Chordata; Mammalia; Pholidota; Manidae
Gene: STXBP2
Gene name: syntaxin binding protein 2
Exons: 19
Source: RefSeq, a predicted model, not a curated record
GCGGUCCACGUGGGUGACGCGCGGGGCCACGCCCCCACCUGGGGACAGACGCGGAAGCGGCGGCGCCCCUAGGGGAAGAUGGCGCCCUCAGGGCUGAAGGCCGUCGUGGGGGAAAAAAUUCUGACCGGAGUCAUUCGGAGCGUCAAAAAGGAUGGGGAGUGGAAGGUGCUCAUCAUGGACCACCCGAGCAUGCACAUCUUAUCAUCCUGCUGCAAGAUGUCAGACAUCAUAGAUGAGGGCAUCACCCUUGUUGAAGACAUCAACAAACGCCGAGAGCCCAUCCCCAGCCUGGAGGCCAUUUAUUUGCUGAGCCCCACGGAGAAGUCGGUGCACGCCCUAAUCGCAGACUUCCAAAGGACCCCAACCUUCAUCUACAAAGCAGCACAUAUCUUCUUCACCGACACCUGUCCGGAGCCCCUCAUCAAUGAACUGGGUCGCUCCCGUGUGGCAAAGGUGGUGAAGACGCUGAAAGAGAUCCACCUUGCCUUCCUCCCCUACGAAGCCCAGGUGUUCUCCCUGGAUGCCCCCCACAGCACCUACAACCUCUACUCUCCCUACCGGGCCGAGGAGCGGACACGGCAGCUGGAGGCGCUGGCCCAGCAGAUCGCCACACUGUGUACCACACUGCAGGAGUACCCGGCCAUCCGCUACCGAAAGGGCCCAGAGGACAUGGCGCAGCUGGCCCAUGCCGUCCUGGCCAAGCUGAACGCCUUCAAGGCACACACUCCCAGUCUGGGCGAGGGCCCUGAAAAAACCCGCUCACAGCUACUAAUCAUGGACCGGGCUCAUGAUCUUGUGUCCCCACUGCUGCAUGAGCUAACGUUCCAGGCCAUGGCCUAUGACCUGCUGGACAUUGAGCAGGACACGUACAAGUAUGAAACCACAGGACUGACCGAGGCCCGUGAGAAGACCGUGCUGCUGGACGAGGAUGACGACCUGUGGCUGGAGCUGCGGCACAUGCACAUCGCGGAUGUGUCCAAGAGGGUCCCAGAGCUUCUGAAGACAUUCUGUGAGAGCAAGAGGCUGUCCACGGACAAGGCUAACAUCAAAGACCUGUCCCACAUACUGAAAAAGAUGCCGCAGUACCAGAAGGAGCUGAGCAAGUACUCCACGCACCUGAAUUUAGCCAACGACUGCAUGAAGUGCUUUAAGGGCUCUGUGGAGAAACUGUGCCGUGUGGAGCAGGAUUUGGCCAUGGGCUCCGAUGCAGAGGGGGAGAAGAUCAAGGACGCCAUGAAGCUGAUCGUGCCGGUGCUGCUGGAUGCAGCAGUGCCGGCCUACGACAAGAUCCGGGUCCUGUUGCUCUACAUCGUUCUGCGGAAUGGCGUGAGCGAGGAAAACCUGGUCAAGCUGAUCCAGCACGCCAAUGUGCAGGCACACAGCGGCACCAUCCUGAACCUGGAGCGGCUGGGCGGCACUGUCAGCAACCCUGUGAUGAGCCCCCAGCCCCAUCUAUCACCCACAUCCUUCUCCCCACCUCCCCCACGGGUCCCGCUGCGCCCUGCUGUAGGGCUCCGGGACCCCACGCCGGCUGCAGCGGAGGGAGCGCUCGGAGCCCACCUACCAGCUGUCUCGCUGGACCCCUGUCAUCAAGGACGUGAUGGAGGAUGCUGUGGAGGACCGGCUGGACACAGACCUGUGGCCCUUCGUAUCCGCCCCCGCCCCUACACCCAGCUCCCAGGCUGCUGUCAGCGCCCGCUUUGGCCAUUGGCACAAGAAUAAAGCAGCUGUGGAGACACGUGCAGGAUCCCGGCUCAUCAUCUACAUCGUGGGUGGCGUGGCCAUGUCAGAGAUGAGGGCUGCAUAUGAGGUGACCAGGGCCACAGAUGGCAAGUGGGAGGUGCUCAUUGGGUCCUCGCACGUCCUCACUCCGACACGCUUCCUGGAUGACCUCAAGAUGCUGGACCAGAAGCUGGACGACUUUCCUCUACCCUGAGCCCCCCCAGCUCCGCCAGAGAAAUAAACCGCUGGCGGCUCUCUCCAG